This 31-nucleotide ribosomal RNA is filed under the name Renealmia thyrsoidea. RNAcentral's name for it is "partial 26S ribosomal RNA". Lineage: Eukaryota; Viridiplantae; Streptophyta; Magnoliopsida; Zingiberales; Zingiberaceae. The record is from RNAcentral.
GUGGCCCCAAUCAGGCGAGCCCACCCGCCGA